UAGUGGUCCUUUCCAAUCUUAAUGAUUCUGUGAUUCUGUGAUAAUUGCAGUGGUGCCAUCAAGGCGCUCGUCAGUUGCUGGCAACUGAAAUAAGCCAUGUGCUGUGGUCAUUACUGGCCAAGAUUUUAGAGAUACUGAGCUCCUCCAGGGACUGCAGGCAGCGGACAUAGGGAGAGGACACUUAGUUCUUUGCUCAGCUCUAGAGCAGUGACACAGCUUUACAAAGCCAAGAAUGAAGUAUUCAUUCGAAUGUCAAACAUUCAAGUGUUCCUAUGUUCACAUAUGUACACAUGUAUCUGUGUGCAGAUAUAACGUGUGUUAUAUCAGCGUGUUAGUUAAUUGGUGCAUUCUCUAAAUGGCUGUGGUUUUUUAAUACUGCUAUUCCCUUAUCUCCACAAAUGAAUAACACUGUCAGAUCUGAUCUCUAAUUAUAUUCUGAAGGGCAAUAAACCCCUGAACCUUUCUGGAUGUUCUUAAUUAGAAUGAAAUCCAAACAAAACAGCCAAAAGAAAACAACCGGAGCGGUUGCUGGAAUCUUGCUACACAUUUAUUGGUGGUUGGGAACAGAACCGAGUGAACCAAUCACUGCGAAGAUUUCACAAUCUGGGACCUUUCCAACUUUUCUCUGCAUCCUGAAAAUGAGCUUUUUUUUUUUUUUUUUUCAGGUUUAUAUUCAUUGAAUUUUUUUGAUACGUAGUUUUUAUAAACACAUUCCAACACACUGGUUGUAAAGCAGUUCUUAGCUGCGUGCAGGGCUGCCAGCACUGCUUGUGUAAAUCACAGCCUUUAUGUAAGCUGCACACGUCUAUGCAUUGACAGCUGAAAACACCAUAGAACACGAGGUGGAAAUUCUGGGGUUUUUUAGGGGUCACACUGCCACGUGCCUGCAGUGUCACACAGAUGCGAGGGGGCAGUGUGACUUAGUGUCACUUUAAUGAGAAGGAAUGAGUGUUCUUUAUAUACAUCUAUUUUCUGAAUUGUGAUGUUUUAGUUCACUUCUGAUGUUGAACUGAGUGUUGAAAGAUAUUUUACCUUUACUUAUCUCUUGUUCUGCUGAUUUUCAUAGGGACAAAAUAACUCCUUGCUGAAAUGCAACUGUCUCUGGGGUGGAGUGCUACUCUUUGACUCCUCCAUAGAAGCAAAGCAGAUCUGGGCUAUAGACAAAGAUGCAAAAUGAAGAUUGGAUGGAGUGUGAACUUGGGAGUGAACUCUCUGGAAAGUACAUGAGAGGGAUCAGAGCUCAUUGCACGUGAACUGAACAAUGAAGGAAUAAAAUGACUUACAAGCUACAUCAGUCCUGGAAAACAAAAAGGAUUUUACAGAAGAUUUCCUCUUGUUUGAGUUGCGAUAUCCAACCGUGAUGGAUAAUCACUUCUUAUCCUGGUUGUUUUGUUGCUUCUGAGACAUGGAGUUUUCACUUUAAGCCUGGUUAAAGAGUAAAAGAAGGGGAUGCAGCUGUGUCUAAAUUAACCCUUAGCUCAGCAGUAGGGUUUUCUCAGGCUGCUUGGAGAAGAAAAACAUAGUUAAAACAACAGAAAGUUUUAACUUCUGCCUCGAGGGCUGGAAACCUAUUUUUCAGGCAGCUUAACUUCUGUCAUUCUCAGUGCGUCUCUUCAAAUUAGCUUCAGACAGUGAAAUAAAUAGGAAAUAUUGCCCAAGAGUCCAUAGUUUUGUCAGAAAGGACUUGGAAAAAAGUAGAGGGGAAGAAAAAGAAAGGCUGAAUCAUGAAGGCCUGCCACGUCUUUUUGCUGAUGUGAAAUCAAAACUGACUGAGGUUAUGGUCAUUCAAUUAUUACAAACCAGUGUAUGAGAAAACCAAUCGUUUGAUGAUGCUGGGUUAAAUGUUCUGGACAAGACGUGAUGUGAACUUCCUCACGUUUGAAUUCUAAGUUUCAGCAAAGGAAAAAUAAUGCCAAGUAAACCUGGUAAAAAGAUCUCAUCAUGUUGUAAGAUGUUAAUGUCGAUUCUAAAGAGUUGAGCAGAGUGAGGGAUGGGAGAGGAGGGCACAACUAAGAAAUGGCACUGUUUUUUUUUCCAUAAGCAUCCCUAACUGAUUCCUUUCAGAUACUGAUAGCCCUAUAUCUUCACUGCUUCAGGACGCAGGGCAGCAAGGUGCCUCACAAGAGAUGUCCAUAAAGUGUCCAGUCCGGGAGUCUGAAAAAUUUUUGGUGCAACUUUGAAGCUCUGUUGACCAGGACAUGUAUUAAGGAUUGCAAAGCUGUGGUCCCUCGCGUGUGCACGCUUCGUUUUCUCAGCAGAAAGAAAAAGAGAAAACAGAAGCUGAGGAGAUAUUCAAGAACUGUGGAGAUGUGGCACUGAGGGACAUGAAGAGAAACUGCAGCAAAGGGGAGAAAUUUCUUCCAUCUGUGGCCAAGGUUAAGGCAACCUGUAGGAAAGAAUGAAAACGACGCAGAGUAACGAGCACCUCAUUUCAGCAAGGUCCAAACCGCUGUCUGCAACGUUUUGGACGAUCCAGUGCAUCUCCUGGUUUUAUUUCAUUCUGUUUUUCGUUACAAGAGGUGUUUCUGUCAAAACCAAAACUGGAGGAGCUGAGCCUAUUAGUGCAUGGCAUGUCUUUCUCUGCCGUACCCAAAGCCGCAGCGGUGAUUUCCUUCUCACUGGCUCUGGGGUGAACCGGGUGUACGGGCUGGGGAGGUCCCGCACUGGAAAUGCUGGUAGGAAGCUGGGCUGAGAGGAAACCCAUUCCUUAUGGGGUGUUGCACGAACCUGGAGCUCUAUGGUACCCCACCGCAGAGAUUGAGGGCUGGGAAUAAUCAGCACGUGUCAAAAAGUCCGUAAGAAGCUUCAGCUACUUCUUGAAUUUUGGGGCUAAUGGUCAGUGCCAUGAAUAGAUGGGAAACAAAUAUUGCUGCAAACAUGAACUCAUUCCAGAGAGCAGCUCUUCUUUCCCCAGCACUCUUGUGGAAAUCUAUUGCUCCUCACUGAAAAAUAAAGCUGUGAAUGCAUUACUAAAAAGCAGGACAAUCAAUGUCUUAACCCCUUCAUUUCAACAUUUCAGAGCAGAACUUUUAGGAUGAAGCAUACUAAUUGUUGCACUGAUAUGUGACAAUAGCUAUCAGGGUUAAGUGUUUGAAAGAUCAAUCUACUACAGAGGCAAUUAAUUAUAAGCAAAAAAUGGAGGCAAGAGGGAAGAGAGAAAUGGAACAGCUGGAAUAAGUGGCAGAAAGAGAGGUGGAGGAAGAAAUGAAACGGAAAAACACAAAACAUGUUUGCUGUAGAGAGAACAAGGAGAAAAGUAUGGAUGUGGGUUCUUUGGAAAUGUUCUUGCUGACAAGAACCUGGACUUUCGAUUCACCAUCACUUCUUUCUUCUAAAGUAUCUGCUAUUUACUUGCAGUCUCAGUAUUUCCCAUGAUUUUCCUCCUGAGGAGACUUCGUUCCCUGCCCUUCCCCAGCUGUGUGGGACAAGAGCCACAACAUCUAGAGUUUACAGAAAGGGAAUGAUAACUCCAGAUCCAUAACAGAUAUCAACGAUGAUAUACACAAUUUGAGAAGCACAUUUUCAUGUUUUUAUGUUUCGGGGGUUGUUUUUUUCACCCUGUCAAUCAUCUUCUCUUUGAGCUCCUCGAGGGAGGACAAAUGGGAACUCCAGGUAGGUGGCCGGCAGUGUCUGGAAAUGGCUAGUGCAGGAAUAAUGGGAGCCUUGAGAGCCUCUGUACCUGUACCAUUCAUGGAGUUAAUUGUUAGAUUGUGGAUAUGGUUUGUCCAGAACUGUUCCACAGGAAUCCUCACCAGCCCAGAUCUGCACAAUGACGUUUUCAGGCAGACUGGUUUUGGAGAGGGAAUGUCAGACACCUCCAACUGUUGUUUGAAAAUUAAGCGUGGUGUGAAAGCUAUAGGUAAAAAGGCAGAAUGAACCGCUGGGAUAUAUCCCCCAAAGGAAGAAAAUCCUGUCCAGAUGAAGAGGUCACUUCAUUCAUAAGCCCCAGGCACUGGGUGGAUAAUAACCCCUCUCUUUGAGUAUCAUCAAGAGAAUAAAAGACAAAAGCGCUGUUUGCCAUUUGUUUCCAAAUAAAUGCAGUUUUAUCAUGCAUGACAUCUUCGCCUCCACCCAACUGACAGAUCUCAGAGUGCAGUUUCAGGGCACUGUCCCCUUGUGAGCAUUGGUUCCAGGUGUACGAGGGGUUCUGCUUCAGUUCCUCCAGGUAGAACAUGGGGCUGUUCAGCAGAACAGUUGCUGCUUUGUAAUUAGUGCUACUGUUUCGUGGCCAGCAAAGUCCUCUGUAACAAUUCCUCUCAGGUUUUGUGUACAGAGAUGUCUUUAAGUGAGCAGGUAGAGCCACGGUGAUUCCUGUGGACUGUGAAGGAUGCCUGCAGAGAUGUCUCUGCUGCCUUGGCACGUGGUUAGGAAUGAUGUGAGUGCAUACAGGCUGCAGCUCGAUUAGACAAGAUGGAAAAGAUAUUCAUGAAACAAUCAAAGCAUUUUGCUGAUGCACCGGGAGUGACACACGAUCCCAACUGAGUGAGAAUGCUCAGAUCUGCCCAUUUGUGGGUAGAAGAAAUAUGAAAAUACCCCCAUGCCACUGGGCUGGAAAGGGUUAAAGAGCACCAAUCAAUCUGCAAUCAAGCAGCUGAGGCAUAAUUAGCCAGACUGAUUAGGCCAUAAAGGCUGUGGUAAGGGUGAGUUUGGGUUUGCCUGGAGGGGAGACUGCAGAGCUCCUGAGCUGGGGGCAGCUCAGCUUCUGGGUGAUCUCUCUGCGGAGCUCAGAUGCUAUGAUCACCUAAAGGGCAGACUAAUCCACACUGGAAAUAGGACACAUCCAGCUGUCACUUCUACAUGCAGUGUAAUCCACGGUCUUCUACAGCCCAAGGAAAUUAAUGUGCUGUAGCAAGACUAUGAUGUGCUGCUUUCCCGGCAGUGAGAUGCAAAGGAAGAGUGGGGGAAAUAUUCAUUUCAGUGGGAGGAGGAGGAGGCGCUUCCAUUAACUCCGUCUCAUAUUGCCAACACUGAGGAGAAAUUCCUUAAUUUUAUUUUAUAACUUCACUAAAUCAUGUGGGAGCAUCAGGCUUUGAAUAAAGAAAAGCACGGAGGAAGAGAGUGACUCAGAGGGUGAUCUGUCUUACUGAAAGCAGAGUUAAGCUCUGUGCACUUACUGUUCCUGAGAC
Molecule: long non-coding RNA, 5126 nt
Organism: Gallus gallus (chicken)
Lineage: Eukaryota; Metazoa; Chordata; Aves; Galliformes; Phasianidae
Exons: 4
Source: RefSeq, a predicted model, not a curated record